CAGCAAACUGAAAAACCAAGGCUGAAAUUGCAGGUGCAGAGCUAGAAAAAAUAGCCAAAUAACCGAGCUUUACUCACCUUGCUGCUCUGUUGGGAAACUUUUUUCUCAAGUGGUUGAUAUUGACGAUUAGUCGGUGCUUUUUUUCAUCGAUCAUAUCCUUAACUAAUUCCAUGUGCCCUCCAGCAUACGAAAAGGAAUGAAAACACGCAUCUCUCAUAAGCAUAAUAUCAGUUCCUUGACCACCUUGACCGCCUUGGGCAGCUUAUACCCAUAGCCACGGUGGGAAAUGAGGUUUUAAAUUCCAACCAUCGUAUACAGUCAACAGGUUAACGGUCGGGCGACAGCAUCCAUCGCGCUAAAUAUGCUGAACGCUGUAACAAAACGGAUUAUUCGAGGAGCUCUUUUCAUCCUUAAUUGUUUUAUGGGGCCAUCGAUACUGAUAAGAUCGUUGGGUAAACGAAAACGAUGCCCUCCUGUUCGCAACAAGCUGCUCCUCGUCUCAGCGACCGAACUCGCCAGAAGGAUCCGAUCGCGGGAGGUGACAAGCGAAGAGGUGGUCACCGCUUACAUUGCAAGAUGCAAAGAAGUAAACCCAACGAUAAAUGCGAUCGUGGAAACGAGAUAUGAACUCGCUAUCCAGGAAGCGAAGGAUGUCGACAACCGUAUCAGGUCGGGGCUGAAAAGUUACGAUGAAAUGUGCCGGGAAACACCGCUUCUCGGGAUACCGGUUACCGUCAAAGAGAGCAUAGCAGUUCAGGGUAUGAGUAAUGCGGCCGGUACAAAACAUUCAAGGGUUCGAAUCGCCCUCGACGAUGCGGACGUAGUUCGAAGAGUGCGGACUGCUGGUGGUAUCGUUCUUCUGGUCAGUAAUACACCGGAAAUGUGCAUGUGUUGGGAAACAUUCAACAACGUAACGGGAACCACAUGGAAUCCGUACGACACGAGGAAAACUGCCGGCGGUUCGUCCGGCGGUGAGGCUGCGUUGCUCGGUUCCGCCGCGUCUCUGUUGAGCCUGUCAUCGGACAUCGGAGGAUCCGCUCGACUUCCGGCGAUGUUUUGCGGAGUAUUUGGUCACAAACCGACGCCAGGCGCAAUUUCCACGGCUGGGCACAUGCCGGACUGCGACGAUAAAGCCUGGCCAAAUUUCUUCAGCAUCGGACCGAUGGUCAGAUACGCCGAGGAUAUUCCUCUGUUAUUGAAAACUAUGUGCCAGUCGAGCGGUUCCGGAUUCCAGCUGGAGAAAAAAGUUUCGUUGAACGAAAUAAAAUUCUUCUACAUGGAUAACGACUGCGGUUCCGGGGCGACAAGUUCCGUUGACUCGGAUAUAAAGUCAGGCAUACAUAGGCUCGUAAAACACCUCAAUUCCCUACACGGAAUCGUAGCGCAAAAGGCCGAGUGCGAACUGCCGGAUAUGAAGUACGCGUUUGAAGUCGCUGCGACGAUUCUUCUAGGCAUCGAUGGUGUGGAUACCAUUUUCACGAAGGGUACGGAUCCCCGGGAAUGGAAGAGCGUCUUUGUAGAGGUGAUUAAAUACCUCUGCUUCAUGUCACCCCAUACCUUUCCUAACGUUACUUACGGAGUGCUGAAAAAAAUCGUAGACAAAACACCGCGGUCGCAUUUAGAGAAUAUGAUAGCGAAGAAUACCUCACUUAAAAGACAGUUUGCGGAUCUCCUCGGUAAUAACGGGGUCCUGAUAUACCCAACUUUCGUGUCCGCCGCCCAUUAUCCAUAUGAGAUAUACCACAAAAUCUGCAACGUGUCGUAUAUGAUGAUAUUCAAUUCCCUCGGACUCCCCGUAACUCAAUGCCCCGUUGGACUGAAUAGGGAUGGCUUGCCAAUUGGCCUUCAGGUUGUCGCAAAUCCAAAUUGUGAUCAUCUGACAAUCGCCGUGGCGAAGGAAAUUGAGAUAAUUUUCGGUGGAUGGCAACCACCGACCGCAGUUGAAAAAACCGUUUGAUUCUUCCUCGAGAACUAGACUGCGGUCGGAAAAAAUUAUGCGUUUCUUUGGAAUUUUACAAAUUGCAAUUCAAGUGUAGAGUGGAUCGGUUUGUCGUGCAAAACCAAAUGACGAAAACUAUCGACACGUGUUUGAAUUAAAAAAUAAAUUAGGAAAAAAAACGAAAACAGUGAAGAUGCUCUGGUUAUACCGCUGUGGAAGAGGACUGAGACUAGGGAAAUCGAGAAUUCCUGAGGAUUAUGAAACGUCAUCGAUUGCGGCGAAUCAGAUGUAUUUUCGAUAAUGUAACAGCUCUUUCUUUGUUGCGCCUGACUUUGUUCUUCUGCUUUCGGCUCUUUGACGCAUCUUUGAAGAGCUGGAUUCCCUGUUGUUCCUCGAUUAAACGUUGCGUGAACGCCAGACCGUACAGAUUGUAACCGACCGUGUCCUGAAAAAGUUGACAAC
Athalia rosae (coleseed sawfly) is the source of this 2401-nucleotide RNA transcript. It is a transcript of the gene named fatty-acid amide hydrolase 2, with no coding region annotated. The record is from RefSeq and is a predicted model, not a curated record. The transcript has 13 exons. NCBI's taxonomy places the organism in Eukaryota, Metazoa, Arthropoda, Insecta, Hymenoptera, Athaliidae.